AACGAACGCUGGCGGCAUGCCUAACACAUGCAAGUCGAACGAGACCUUCGGGUCUAGUGGCGCACGGGUGCGUAACGCGUGGGAACCUGCCCUUAGGUUCGGAAUAACUCCCCGAAAGGGGUGCUAAUACCGGAUAAUGUCUUCGGACCAAAGAUUUAUCGCUUUUGGAUGGGCCCGCGUUGGAUUAGCUAGUUGGUAGGGUAAAAGCAUACCAAGGCGACGAUCCAUAGCUGGUCUGAGAGGAUGAUCAGCCACACUGGGACUGAGACACGGCCCAGACUCCUACGGGAAGGAGCAGUAGGGAAUAUUGGACGAUGGGCGAAAGCCUGAUACAGCAAUGCCGCGGGAGUGAUGAAGGCCUUAGGGUUGUAAAGCUCUUUUACCCGGGAUGAUAAUGACAGUACCGGGAGAAUAAGCUCCGGCUAACUCCGUG
This 433-nucleotide ribosomal RNA is filed under the name uncultured bacterium. Its description in RNAcentral is "partial 16S ribosomal RNA". It matches the Rfam family "Bacterial small subunit ribosomal RNA", at positions 29 to 507 of the family's 1533-position model. The record is from RNAcentral.